This is a long non-coding RNA of Loxodonta africana (African savanna elephant), 12378 nucleotides long. RefSeq lists it as uncharacterized. The record is from RefSeq and is a predicted model, not a curated record. The transcript has 3 exons. NCBI's taxonomy places the organism in Eukaryota, Metazoa, Chordata, Mammalia, Proboscidea, Elephantidae.
AUUAGGUUUUUUUUUUUUUUUUUAAGUUCCUUAUUAUUCCCUUAAUUCCUUCUGUCAGGAGCAAAAUUUGUGAACUCUUGAAAAGACAGGACUGUGUCUUACUUAGACUUAGCUCUCAGCACACAUCUGACAUAAUACGUUUUUGUUUAAUUGAACUAACAAUAUUUAAUUCCAAAAGGUGGACAUUAACACAUGUAUGGUGAGAGAAUUGUCAAUGCACAGGGUGGUGAGAGGAUUGUCAAUGCACAGGGUGAAAGGAAAUGAAGAUAUUAUUUUUAUUUAAAAGAAGUAAUAGUUGCUCUGUGAAGAAUCCCUUAGCGAUACCAUGCUCUGUAAGAUGGUUGGAAAAGCCCUGCUUAGCUGGGCACAUCUAGUCAUUGUACUCUGACCCAUUUAACAAGCCAUGUCAGAAACUUGUUUUUCACUUUCCUUUUGAAUGUCUUCAUCUACGAAAAUGUGUAAGUGGGUUUCCCCUCCCUGGGUUAGCACUAAAUGGGAUUGGUAUGGGGCUAUAAUAUAACAAUUUGCAAAUGUAGAAUAGAUUCCGCUGCUUUAGGAACUUAAGUUAAUGUCAAAAUGUCAGAUGGGCACCAGUCAUGAUCAGCAGACUUGUACUAUCACAGAAAGUCCCAGGGAAAAAGAAGGCCUUUGCUUACCUCAAUCUCCUCGGUAUAAUUUAAACCAGUGUUUUUCAACCUAACCUCAAAUGAGCGUAGUAAUCAUCUGAGGAUCUUGUUGAAAGGCAGGUUGUGAUUCAGUUGGUCUCAGUAGUAGUUCAGCAUUUCUGAUACUAAAGUUGCUGGCCCGGAGAACUCACCUUGAAUAGGAAUGAGCUAAACUCCCCAAAUCACAGUUUCUCAAAUUUGCUAAGACUCUAUUUAGGGGCCGUUGCUCAUAACAGUGGAUCAUCAAGCUACUUUGACCUAGGUGUACUUAGAAUUUCUGUUCUAGUACAAGGUUCAUGCCUUUGUUACACUGAACCUUAGUUCCUUGUAAAAGGAAGAGUUUGGGUUGAACGGAAUCGCUGGGGUACUUUUUAGUGAUCAGAUGUGUCACAAUUUCUUUUUUUAUUCAGGACAAAUAAGGGGAGGUGCAAAGUUUCACCAUUUCAGAUUGGCAUUAUCCUAAUUCUCUUCAGCUGGUUUGAGUCUUCUGCGUGGGUUCGGAUCAAUUCGAUUCGGUUGUAUUGGGAAAGAAGGAUAAUAGAAUUGAAUGAUCAGAAACAGGUUAAAAUACUUACAUAUGAAUGAAUAUAGAAGCUGACUGUACUGUGUAAUCAUCAAAACUUACAAUGUAAUUAAUGUUUCAUGAAUUUUAAAGAAAAUGUGGUCUCAUUGCCUUUUAUGUCCACAGUACAACAAAACCAGGUUAAGUAUUUUUAGGCAAAAUUGUGUUCACCUCUGUGUUAGAAUCCUGUUGGUGUUAUGUUAUGUUGUAAUAACAAUGUUUCUUUGAAUGGGAACCUUUUAAUGGCACUUUACUCUUUCCUGAGAUUGUACUUAAAAGGAAAAUGUAUUUGAAAGGUCAAAAAAAAAAAAAAAAAAGAACCUUGGGCUUUCUAGGGGAUUUUGACCCCUGGGUUUUUUUGUUUUGUUUUGUUUUUUUGCUCAUGAUUUCAUUCUCCAGGAUUUUAAAUCAUUCUAAGAAUCAAAGAAAUUGUGGGUCUUAAUAAAUACAUGUAAACAAAGAAUUAUUUACGUUUUUAUUCAUAUGCUGAAUACUUUCACUCAGCUGGCACUGACUUCAAAACAAAUGAUGGCAAACCCUCCUCAAAAAUAACAAUAACGUUGUAACACAGGAAACUUCACUGGACAAAGGAGGAAGCCACUUCCCUGACAGUGGCUCUAUUGAGUGAAAGAUACCUCAACGGUCAAUGAAAACCGUAUAAACAAAGCAAAAACGCGAAUGAAAAUAAUAUCAUCUUUACAUAGUGAGGAGUAUAAGAGCUAACGAAGCAAAACAAAACAAGGCACUUUGACCCGUACUUGGCACAUACAAAGUGCUUAAUAAGUAUUUUCUAUUGUGAUUAUUUCUGAUACUGUCAUCUUGAUGUUGAUAACAAGCAAGCCACAGUAGCAUUGAGCUCUCUAACUCUAUGGAUGUGGGGGUUAUUAUUACUAUUUCUUUUGAGUGGAACUUUUCACAAAUGAUGAUAUUAGUUGGUUAUGGAAAAUCUGGCACAGUAUAAAACCAUGCCAGCCGUCUUCUAGUCAAUCCCGACUCCUGGUGGCCUCACGGGUGUCAGAGCAAAUCCGUGCUGCACAGGGUUUCAGUGACUGGUUCUCAGAAGUAUGUCACCAGGCCUUUCUUCUGAGGCAGUUCAGGGUGGACUGGAACCACAGACUUUUUGGUUAGCACUCGAGUGCUUAGCUGUUUAAGUCAGGAACUCCGACACACUACAUAAGAGCAAAUAACGCCAAUAUUCACUGGAAGUAGAAUGUCCAACUCACAGACCAUAAUACUCAAUUUUCUGUGUUCAUAGACUGUCAUGUAGAGGAUCACAAUUUGUAAAGAAAUUGUCUUCUAAAUAGAAGAGCAGUGUACCUCAAUGGAGGAAAAAAAAAAUGGUCUACAACACAUACAAGCACAUGAAUGUAUAGAUUUCCAUAAGAAAUGCAUAUAUAUUUUUCUUCUAGUCAUAUUGAAAAAUUAACAUCACCCAGUAGUAUCACUGGUAGUGUUAUAGCGCUAAUGCUAAAGUUGGGUUUUCACAAAACAAAAAGAUAAACUUAGCAAAUAGUUGGGGUUGUGAAGUUAACCUACCAUUCCAAGUCACCUAAGCCAAACAUUCUUUAGGAUGGAUAGUUUUCACUUAUUAAGACUAUUAAGUCACUCUUUUAUGUUUGCUCUGUUUAAACAGGAAGAGGGAUGCAAAAGGAAAUUCUCCAUGGUUCUGUAGGUGCUUCCCCCCAGCUUUGGAGCCCUGGUGGCACAGUGGUUCAGCGUUUGGCUGCUAACCAAAAGGUCGUGGUUCUAAUCCACCAACUGCUCCUUGGAAACCCUAUGGGGCAGCUCUUCUCUUCCCUAUAGGGUCACUAUGAGUUGGAAUCGACUUGAGGGCAAGCUAUUAGUUUUUUUUUUUUUUUUGGUUUUCCCCCAUAGUUUAUUUAUGCAAAGUGAAGUUCAUGGUAUUUUCCCUGUAUAAAAAUACAUCAUGCUAGAGUUCAGGUUUGCUGAAGAUGCACAACAGCAGAGGAAUGACUUAGAAGAACUCUUUGAAUAAAACAGUAAAUCAGAUUAAAUAAUUAGUAAAUAAUUAAUCAAUAUCCCAAGAUAAUGAUUAAAUUUGCCAAGUCACCUAUCGGACCUCCUAAGUGCAAUUCCAGGCUCAGCCAUUUAUUAACUGUUUGAUUUUAAGAGUUUCCUAACUUCUCUGUGCCUCAGGUUAUCUACUCCUCUAUGUAAUAGGGUUACUAAUAGUAUCUCUUUCAUAAUGUGAUUGUAAGAAUAAACAUAAUCAUUUAUAUGAAGUGGUUAAAGUAGUACCUUAUAUACAGUAAUCAAUAAACCUCAGUGAUUAUUAGAGAAUGAAUAGCAUUUCCUGUAACUGUCAUUAAGAUCAUUACUCAUAUGUUGUAGUUUUAUGAGUUGCUUACCAUUUUGUCAAAGCUGAUUAUAUACUUACUAUAGCUCGAUUACAUAAUCUUGGUAAACACUUAGCAAGCGUAAGGCUUCUAGGUCAAGUUUAAGUCUCAAAUUCUACAGAGAGCUUGGUAAUCGGAAUCAAAUUCUGUCAGUUCAAAAGGGUCUGUGAAGAUCAGGAAUUUUAAGAUAACGUCCAGACGACUUGGAUAGUAAAUAAUUCUUAAACUUUCAGCUUAACAGAAUUCAGAUAGUAAGCACAUAACCAGCCCUCAGGUUUAUGUCUUUUGCAUACAUUCUGUACAUCUGGGAUGACGCUCACAGACUCUCCCCAAUGUCCCUUACCAAGUCUCACUCUGCCCAGCCGUGUCUCCGUGGGUAGUCUGUCCUAGUCUGCGCUCAUGCUUCAUGGUGGGUACAGCUUGCGGACGUACUCUCAGUGACUCAGAGGGAAGAAUGGGUCUAUUCUUUUGUCUGAUAACUUGUAGUGUCAAAUGUCUAUAUAUGAUUUAAUUUUUUUUUCUUGUAGUCUUUCGGGUCAUUUGCUAUUAAGCCACAUUUUGCUUUUGUGAAGUCCCUGCAAUGAUUGACAGUGGUGAGUUGCACUACCUUAGUUUUGUUUUUUGCUUUCUUUCUUUGGAUGAUCUCACUCAUUCUUUUUCUGUUGGAGAGGAAGCAACAUAAAUGUUUACUGUUCAUAUUUGUCUAGCAAGUAUUACAUGCUUCUCAUGUGGUCUCUGUAAGGUUGCUUGACACUGACAAUCGCUAAAUUUUGGGAAUACAGUUUGGGCGCCAUAAGUGGUGUUACUUGGGAAACCGACUGUGAGAGAGAGAUUUGUAAAAACAUGAGCAAGAGCUACUGAGGGGGGCGGGAGUGAAGUAGAGGGGCAGAGGGAAAAGCUGAGCUGUGACGCAGCGGCAACCAGGACCUCAGCCCAUCUCACAGGGAGCUCUGAAUCAGAGAUGGGGCUUCAGCUAUGUUCCCAGAUGAACCAAGGAUGCCAGAAUUUUGUAUCUCUGCACGGGCCAGUCACUGGAUCUUGGCUGCCCCCAGGGACUGGGUCUGAACUUGAGCCCAUCAGCUUCCAUCAGCUGAGGUCAAUCCUGUAGGAACUCAAGGGUAAGCUAUCAGCAGGCAACACUCCCUGGAACUAGGGAAUAAAGGCCUUUGUCCAGAAGGGGAAUCUGGGUAGCACACCACAGUAUCCACUACAGGAGGUAAAAAUUGGAUGACUCUGCAUUUGAAUUAGAUAUGGCAGUUAUGAAAAUUCUUCUCUGGAUUUUACUGGUCAGUUAAUCAAUCUCUAUUUGGCAAGCUACUUUGUUAAGCUGUUGCCUAAGCCCAAGUAUGAGAGAAAAUCUUACUCAUGAAGGCUGAGAUACCCACUUCACAAAUGAUGCCUUCUGAUUGGUAUUAAUAGUUUCUAAGAUAAGUUAAAUGAUCCAGUCAGGACACAGAGACCACACCAGUGAUUUGAACAGAGGCCAUUUCAUAUGCACAGCUGUUAACUACACAUAAAGCUGUUAACUGGAUAACAAAAAUAAAAAGAGAACUCUAUGGAAACUCUGGUGGCGUAGUGAGUGGUUAAGAGCUACAGCUGCUAACCAAAAGGUCGGGAGUUCGAACCCACUAGGUGCUCCUUGGAAAUCCUAGAGGGCGGUUCUAUUCUGUCCUAUAGGGUUGCUAUGAGUUGGAAUCCCUCGAGGACAGUGGGUUUCAACGGGUUAAGGUACCCUGAGAGUAGCUAUUGCAACAAGCAUCUUCCAUCACCAGGCCAGAGGAACAAAGGGAGGAAUUUGAAAUGAUUAACACUUAGGACUGCUGCGAGGGGCCUUGCAGAGCUGAAAUGCAGGUCUCUGUGGAGGUGCUGCUGCCUAGCUUUUGUUGGUAUCUCUCAGCUCAGUAAGGACCCUGUGGAGCCAGGACACAGGUUUCCCAGAAUUGGGCCCUGUGGGAAUGUGCCGGUGUCUUGGGGACAGGGGUGCAAUGAAGACGGUUGUGAAUGUGUGGGAAAUGCUCCCAACUGGCAUCAGCUGCUGCUAGAGGAAAGAACCGCUGCUGAGUAAAGAGGCACUGCUGGGAAGAUGGUCAGAGUCAGGUAACAGGAAGAAAACAGGAGGGUGCUUGUCUCUUCCUCCUCCAGCUUGCAGGCCCCAUCUAGCGCCCCCUACUGGCAAAACCAACUGUCAGCGGAAACAUGGCUUGCAGGGUCCCAACUCCAACACAGCAAAGCAGAGGAUAGAAGUGUGGGUGUGGAGCUGAGAGAAAAUAAGUUAAUAACAAGUACAAUAAAUAACAUUUUACCAAGAAGAAAAACCACCAAACAGUGAAAUGUUUUCCUUUAAUAAAAUCAUAAGGUUGAUACAUAGACACCUGUAACAAUUUAUUGACAAAAGUAUCAAUGAUGUUAGACUAGACCUCCCUGAUGUGAAAUAAAGAGAAUACUUUCUUAUGUUAACUGCAGUUUAUUAACAGUGUUUUAACUAGCAAGUAUACCAUCGGCUGAUGGAUUAGAGAGAAUGAAGAGGAAUUUAGCACUGAGAAUAAAAGAAUUGAUUUUAAAUAGAAAUAUUUUCUUUCAUUCACAGUAAUUAUGUGAUUUUAUAAGAUGCUUGUCUUGCAAAAUAAAUCUCCAACGUUACUUAAUAAAAAUUGCUAAAAUUUUGAAAUGUAGUUCUAAUAUGCAUGCAAAUCAGGCAAAGAAAGCCACAGACUCCGAUACUGUGGGGAAAUCCCAUGUAAGUGAGGGUCAGGACAGAUUGGAGGACGAACAAAUGGAGGGGAGUGUAGAAGCACCACACGUACAGCUAGAGUGUUCCAAACCAGAAGUUAAAACAGCGUGAUAUCGUAUUGCUGAAGAAGUCGAAUGCUGCAAAGCAAGUGUUCGGGGGCAAGUGGCUAAGAAAUCACUGAUGAACAGUUGUUUCAGGUGGCCGGUUGGGGCAGAAACUACAGCAGCAGAGUCUCCUGGUUUAAAGGGAACAAGUAAUAGAGAAAUGGCAAAGGCAAGUUGUCCAACACUCAUUUAGACAGGAGAAAAUUCGCCCAGCAAUGGGAGUAUAAGGAGCCCUGGGGGCACAAUGGUUAAUGGCUAUUAACCAGAAGGUGAGCAGUUCAGACCCCCCAGCUGCUGCAUAGGAAAAAAGACCUCUUGAUCUGCUCCCAUAAAAUUUAGGCCAAGAAAACCCUACAGGGGAGUUCUAUUCUGCUGUAUAGGGUUGCUAUGAGUUGGAAUUGACUCAACAGCACACAACAACAAUGGGAGUACAAAGCUGGUUCUAUGACAUCUUCCCUCGUUGAAGAUAAAAUCGGUCCUAAUUUAGAGGAAGCAAAGAAGAAGGCAAAGCAGACCAACCAGUUUCUGUUCAGUCAGUCCUGACUGAUGGCGACCUCAGGUGUGUCAGAACAGUCACAGGGUUUUUUCCAUUCCCCAAGCCCACUCUUCAGAUAAAGAUUAGACAGGACUAUAAAACAAAAAAUCAUACAUGUGACGAGUGUGCCUCUUAGUUCAAUCAGAUGCAUGAGACCAAAUGGGCGGUUCCUGUCCGGAGGCAGGAUGAGAAGGCAGGAAGGGACCGGAACUGGUUGAAUGGACACAGGGAACCUGGGGUGGAACGGGGGAGUGUGUUGUCAUAUUGCUGGGAUUGCAACCAAUGUCACAAAACAGUAUGUGUAUAAAUUUUCGUAUGAGAAAUUAACUUGGGCUAUAAACUUUCACCUCAAGCAAAAAAAAAACAAACAAACAAAAUCAAUGGCUGAUUUUUUGGAAGUAGAUCACCAGGAUUUUCUUUAAAGACACCUCUCUGAGUAGACUCAAACCUCCAACUUUUGGAUUAUCAGCUGAGUGUGUUAAUCGUUUGCACCACCCAGGGACUCCUAAAGUAGAAAAGAAGAGGAUAAAAUGAUGGGAUGGUGGUGAAAAAUGAAGGAAAAAAAAAAAGUCUCCGAGUAGGAAAGCAGGGAAUUACGAGUAGGGUAGCAGAGGUGGAGGAAUUGGGUUUAAAGAUGUGUAAAUACAGACAGACAAAGUUAAAUAACAGGUGAAGGAAAAGAGCAUCAACGUGGAAACCCAACUCCGUUUCACAGCCACCACAAUGUGUAAUCUAUAGCAUGUAUACUAGGUUUUCAUAGCAAGUAUCUUGAGACUCCUAAACUUAGAAUAAUGAUAUUGAUAAUUUCAUACUGAGGACCAAAUCUAAUUUGGGUGGCAUUUGAGAAGAAAGAUUUCUGUAAAGUUAAUAUGGCCUAACCUUAUUACAUUGUCUUUAUGGAAAUAAUAUUUGCAUUCAACCUUUCUGAAUUAUACAAGUCGUUUAGCUUCUUUACGGUUAGGUUAUUAACACAUCCCCCUAUCCCCCACCACUGACACAAAGUGACACUGACUUUUGUGGUUCUGUAAAAAGGAAAGCGCCCACACAUCUGCCCGCCUGGUCUUAGCGCCAUCGAUACCAUUGCCGUUUGAUUCUCUGGGAGCUCUUUGAACUGAACCAACUUGGCUAAUGACUUUCAGUCAGAAAUAACUAACUUUCAUCAGAGUCAAAUACACCUUAAGUACUUACUCUAAAUUUUCUCCCUCUCUAUUUGCAUAGAAGCCUGGUGGCUGUAGUGGUCAAGAGCUUGGCUACUAACCCAAAGGUUGGAAGUUCAAAUUCACUAGCCACUCCUAGGGCAGCUCUACUCUGUAACACAUGGGAUCACCAUGAGUCAGAACUGACUCCAGGGCAACAAGUUUGUUUUUCUGUUUGCUUGUGUUUUACUUGCAUGUGUCCUAUACCAACGAGUGAGAAACACGAUUAUAAAAUGAGAUAGUCUAACCUCUGUAAUGACCACUCCCUUUUCUUUACUCCUUUGUUUCAAGCAGCUCCCUAUCUGGUAACUGGUUGGAGCCAGCAUUUACCAAUGCUACAUUUUCCGCCCCUGGAGGGUUACUGGCAGGCAUCUGAGCCACUUUAGUACAUACUAGCAUAGUGGCGGAUACUGACACAACUGCCUAAAAACUAAGGAAGUUGAUCUGAGCCACACCGGAGUGUUGAGAGCCAUCCGUAUGAGGGGAUGCUUCCCAGAGGGGUGAUUGUGUGAAACUUUUCUGUCUUUUAGGCUUGUAAGUAUGUUUACUAUUUCCUUUGUGUUAUUGGGAAGACAGUCACUGGGAUUCAGAAAUAGUCAAGUAAAUGAGUUAUUUUUGGGAUGAAAGCAGUUUGUGAUGCACUUUCUUGGCCAUGGUACCAAUAUGUACAGCAUGUGUGAUAUGCUUCAUGGAACAUGGGACUGAUGGCCUACUUGCAUUAGUCACCUCCCUGAUGGGACACUUUAUAAAGUGCUCGCUGGAAAGUCAAGUAAGGUAUUUUAUGGCUCAAGUGUAACCAGGAGGUGUGAUGCCUUUGUCUGUGAUGUACUUCCUGGAACAUUGUACCGAUAUGGACCACUAGCAAUUGGCACCCUAUUUUUUCAAAUAACAAAAAACUACCAACAAACAAUGAUUCAGCAGCCAUUCCAUUAGUGAGUAAACACAGCACUACCAAAAAAAUUACAAAAAAAAAAAAAAAAAAUUCACCCAUGAUAGCAUUUUAAAAGGAUUUCUCUGAAAUAGAAUAUCUAAAUACAUUGAUGAGUUUCAAUAAAAUCCAUUUAUACUGAAGGUAAAAAUGAUUUCUGUGGCCCCUCUAACUUGUCACCUCAUUCAUUUUUGGACAGUGACUUUGAACAGAGUCACAAGAAAGGAGUUGUUGCUGGCUGUCACUGAGUCAGUGCUGGACUCACUGCCUCCUCAAGAACAAUGGAACCAAAUGCUGCCUGCUUUUGGAUCAGACCGUUACGAUCCACAGGGUUUUCACUGACCAACUUUCAGAGUUGAGCACCGUGUCUUUCUUCCUAGUUCCUCUUAGUCUGGAAACUCUGCCGAAGCCUGUUCAGCGUCAUAGCAACAUGCAAUGUCUCCACUGACGGAUAGGUAGUGGCUACACCUGAGAUGCACUGGCUUGUUGGGAAUGGAAUCCGGGUCUUCCACAAGGAAGGCAAGAGUCCUAUCACUGUACCACCACUGCCUCGAGAAAGCGCUGUAUAUUAUCAUUGUUGCUGUUAUUAUUAUCAUUAUUUUGAGAAGUAGUUAAAUGGCUCUCCAGUCAACCUGUCUGGAUUUGAUCCCAGUUGCAUCAUUUACUGUUCAAGUCAUGGUGGAAUCCCUGGAUGCCACAAACAGUUAAGGCAUUCAGAAGCAAAUGGGAAGGUUGGAAGUUCGAGCCUACCUGGAGGUGCCUUGGAAGAAAGUCCUGGAGAUCUACUUUAGAAAAAUCAGCCAUUGAAAACCCUCUGGUGCACAGUUCUAUUCUGACGCACAUGAGGUCGCCAUGAGUUGGAGUUCAACUCAGUGGCAAUUGCUUUUGGAUGUUGGACAAAUUACCUAAUAAAUCUGUUAUUUGAUAACUGCUAACUCAACACGGUUGUCCCUCCUGUAAGCUUUUCAGCUUCUACUAUCCCUUUCCUACUUGCACACAUCAUUCUUUGACUACACAAUCCCUAUUUGUCUUAGUCUUCAGCUCCGACUUAUCUUUAGACCAUCUCAGGGUGAAAGACCCUCCCAGCAGAGUCACAACUUCUAUGGGGCCCACACUGUGCUUACUUCUUUGCUAGCACGUAUAACAAUGAGUUGUUAUCCACUGUUGACUUUUCUGUUAUCCUGAGUAGAGUGUGACCCUCAGGGAAGAGACCAUGCCCUAUAUUUUUUUCUAUCUGCUGGUAUCUAGUGUCUUACACAGAGUACAGCACAGAGAAGCUGAAUUUAAAUGAAUGAACGAAAGUGAAUGGAUGAAUUAUACAUUUUUCUUUAAACACAAAUAAUGCAAUUUCAAAAGUGUCUGAGGCAAAAUACUUCUAAAACUGCACAUAUGCCAUGUGUUAAGUAUCUUAUCCUGAUAAGUACAGGCAAUCCCUGGGUUACAAAAGUCUGAUUUAUGUGCCAUCAUACAAACACUAGUUACAGACCAACCCUCGUAAAGCUUAUUAUAUUAAAACAGUAUUAUUACAGUUAUUACAGUACUAUCACAUUAAAGACAUUUUUGUGGGCCUGGAGGUGUUUCUUUAACGUUUUUUAUACAUACGAAAGUACACUAUAUGCUGAGACAAACAUUUGACUAAUGUUAGAUAUGAACCUUAUUUAACUGUUCUGAUUUAUGUACAAAUUCGACUUAAAGACAGAUUUAGGAAUGGAACGCCUUCAUAAUCCAGGGUCUGUCUGUAAUGUGGUAAUUUAUUGAAUUUGCCAUAGCUUUAAAAAAGAAGUUGUAAGGGUUUGGAAUUCCGAUUGAAGAAUUUGUGACAUUUUUCUAGCCUUUUUCAUUCAUAAGGAACCCUGAUGGCACAGUGGUUAAAGUGCUUGGCUACUAACCAAAAGGUCGACAGUUCAAACCCAGCUGCUCCGAGGGGAAAGAUGUGACUCUUCCUACAGGGUCGCUAUGACUUGGUGGCAGUGGGUUUCUUAUCCAUAGGCAGUGUCAUCAGAUAAUUAUAAUUAACAUUUUCCCGUGAAUGGCAACCUGUGCAUUUAAUUAGAGGCAGAUAUUUUAUGAAGUUAAAGAAGAUUCUGGGCCCCUGGGAGGGCCCUAGCAAUGAGUUUACGUGGUCAUAUGUUUGAGCAUAUUUUUUCAAAAGGGACAUGAGUGCAUGGGUUAAGGCCUCUGCCUUCUUUCCUUCUACAUCUUUACAUUAUGCCCCUGCUGUCAGGUGGUGUUGGAAGGCUGUAGGAACUUUUGAGAUCUGGCGAAGGGUAAGUUCAGUAGGAAAUAUGCCAUUUUGACAGCAAUUUGGAAAGCCAGUUUGGACUAUUUCAAUAAAGUCAGAAAUUCCAGGCUUCUCGUUCUGUGAACAAAAAGAAAGGGCACCCUUUCUAGUCAUCUUUAAAUCUAUUUACUAGAGAACUAAGGGAAAAGUUGAGAUAAAAAUUAGUGGAAUAUAAAACAAAACCAACAAAUAUGAGCAAUGACAUCAAUAAAAAUUAUUCUCAUAUUGAGAUGCAAGUUGUACAAAAAUUUCAGUUCAUACUGAAAGCAGCAUUUUCUAAAAGGAAGAGAUAAAUUCUAAUAAGAGGAAUGAAUAAUAAUAUAUAAUUAGUAAUUUGCAAUAAAACAUAAAAUACUCUGAUGUCUUUACAGCUUAUGUGUGAAAGAAGUUGAUAGACUAUCCCAAAUUUGAUAAGGAGCCUAGAAGUCCACACGUUUUUAUCAGCAAGGAGUUGUGAAGUUGAAACAAGCUUUUCUAAGCAAUGACCAGGAAAAAAACAAGUUUUGAUCAUAUAUGUGAGAGGGAAGACUGAAUUUUCUAUUAUCUCUAUAGAAAAUUAUGUUAAAAAAUCAUUGACAUAAAGGGACAAAGACUACGUAACUUAAACAUGUAGGAAAGUAGUGUUAGAUAGGUCAGCCAGUUAAUUAAUCAAAUAUUCUGUGAUUCCUUUGGAAAUUCAAUGUUUGUGGUAUUUGUUAAGUUUAUAGCACUUAUUGUUUGUUUUGAUUUCUCUGCUAUUUCCUCAUAAACAUUGAUUUGUGUGUUUAUAUGUUCCUUGUUCAUAAAGUGGGACCCAUAAACUUCAUACCUGUUGCCAUCAAGUCAAUUCAGACUCACGGUGGCCGUAUUGGACAGAGAAGAACUGCCCCCUCAGGUUUCCAAGGAGCAGAUGGUGGAUUUGAACUGCUGACCGUUUGGUUAGCAACCAAACAUUUAACCACUCUGCUACUACCAAAGCUCCACCUAACCUGCAUGGGCAUUAAAAAAAUAAUAUAAAAACCCAUUGGCAUCAACUCAUA